CCGCGGCUCCGACGAGUCGAGUUGUUUGGGAAUGCAGCUCUAAGUGGGUGGUAAAUUCCAUCUAAAGCUAAAUAUUGGCGAGAGACCGAUAGCGAACAAGUACAGUGAUGGAAAGAUGAAAAGCACUUUGAAAAGAGAGUGAAACAGCACGUGAAAUUGUUGAAAGGGAAGGGCUUGCAAGCAGACACGGUUUUACCGGGCCAGCGU
RNAcentral lists this ribosomal RNA (207 nucleotides) under Clavispora lusitaniae. Its description in RNAcentral is "partial large subunit ribosomal RNA". It matches the Rfam family "Eukaryotic large subunit ribosomal RNA", at positions 249 to 455 of the family's 3401-position model. Lineage: Eukaryota; Fungi; Ascomycota; Pichiomycetes; Serinales; Metschnikowiaceae. The record is from RNAcentral.